This 465-nucleotide ribosomal RNA is filed under the name Vreelandella stevensii. RNAcentral describes it as "partial 16S ribosomal RNA". It matches the Rfam family "Bacterial small subunit ribosomal RNA", at positions 338 to 795 of the family's 1533-position model. Lineage: Bacteria; Pseudomonadati; Pseudomonadota; Gammaproteobacteria; Oceanospirillales; Halomonadaceae. The record is from RNAcentral.
CCUACGGGCGGUAGCAGUGGGGAAUAUUGGACAAUGGGCGAAAGCCUGAUCCAGCCAUGCCGCGUGUGUGAAGAAGGCCUUCGGGUUGUAAAGCACUUUCAGUGGGGAAGAAAGCCUUGGGGCUAAUACCCUCGAGGAAGGACAUCACCCACAGAAGAAGCACCGGCUAACUCCGUGCCAGCAGCCGCGGUAAUACGGAGGGUGCGAGCGUUAAUCGGAAUUACUGGGCGUAAAGCGCGCGUAGGCGGUCUGAUAAGCCGGUUGUGAAAGCCCCGGGCUCAACCUGGGAACGGCAUCCGGAACUGUCAGGCUAGAGUGCAGGAGAGGAAGGUAGAAUUCCCGGUGUAGCGGUGAAAUGCGUAGAGAUCGGGAGGAAUACCAGUGGCGAAGGCGGCCUUCUGGACUGACACUGACGCUGAGGUGCGAAAGCGUGGGUAGCAAACAGGAUUAGAUACCCCAGUAGUC